Molecule: ribosomal RNA, 468 nt
Filed under: uncultured bacterium
Lineage: Bacteria
Description: partial 16S ribosomal RNA
Rfam family: Bacterial small subunit ribosomal RNA
Source: RNAcentral
GACGAACGCUGGCGGCGUGCUUAACACAUGCAAGUCGAACGGAAAGGCCCUGCUUUUGUGGGGUGCUCGAGUGGCGAACGGGUGAGUAACACGUGAGUAACCUGCCCUUGACUUUGGGAUAACUCUAGGAAACUGGGGCUAUAACAGGAUAGAAGCUCUUGCGCCAUGGGGGGGAUUGGAAAGUUUCGGCGGUUGGGGCUGGACUCGGGGCUUAUCCGCCGGUUGGGGGGGUAGUGGCUUACCAAGGCUUUGACGGGUAGCCGGCCUGAGAGGGUGCCCGGCCACCUUGGGACUACGAGACGGCCCAGACUCCUACGGGAGGCAGCAGUGGAGAAUAUUGCACAAUGGGCGGAAGCCUGAUGCAGCAACGCCGCGUGCGUGAUGACGGCCUUCGGGUUGUAAACCGCUUUCGCCUGUGACGAAGCGUGAGUGACGGUAAUGGGUAAAGAAGCACCGGCUAACUACGUG